UACGUAGGGUGCGAGCGUUGUCCGGAAUUAUUGGGCGUAAAGAGCUCGUAGGCGGCUUGGCAAGUCGGGUGUGAAAACUCCAGGCUCAACCUGGAGAUGCCACUCGAGACUGCUAUGGCUAGAGUCCGGUAGGGGACCACGGAAUUCCUGGUGUAGCGGUGAAAUGCGCAGAUAUCAGGAGGAACACCGGUGGCGAAGGCGGUGGUCUGGGCCGGCACUGACGCUGAGGAGCGAAAGCGUGGGGAGCAAACAGG
Molecule: ribosomal RNA, 254 nt
Filed under: uncultured bacterium
Lineage: Bacteria
Description: partial 16S ribosomal RNA
Rfam family: Bacterial small subunit ribosomal RNA
Source: RNAcentral